RNAcentral lists this ribosomal RNA (504 nucleotides) under uncultured Glomeromycotina. Its description in RNAcentral is "SSU rRNA". It matches the Rfam family "Eukaryotic small subunit ribosomal RNA", at positions 569 to 1077 of the family's 1831-position model. Lineage: Eukaryota; Fungi; Glomeromycota. The record is from RNAcentral.
AGCAGCCGCGGUAAUUCCAGCUCCAAUAGCGUAUAUUAAAGUUGUUGCAGUUAAAAAGCUCGUAGUUGAAUUUCAGGCCUGGCUGGACGGUCCGCCCUUCGGGUGAGUACUGUCUGUGGUCGGGUCCUACCUACUGGCGAAGCGUCAUGGCCUUAACCGGCCGUGGCGGGGAACCAGGACUUUUACUGUGAAAAAAUUAGAGUGUUCAAAGCAGGCAAUCGCUUGGAUACAUUAGCAUGGAAUAAUGGAAUAGGACAAUGGUUCUAUUUGUUGGUUUCUAGGACCGUUGUAAUGAUUAAUAGGGAUAGUUGGGGGCAUUAGUAUUCAAUUGUCAGAGGUGAAAUUCUUGGAUUUAUUGAAGACUAACUACUGCGAAAGCAUUUGCCAAGGAUGUUUUCAUUAAUCAAGAACGAAAGUUAGGGGAUCGAAGACGAUCAGAUACCGUCGUAGUCUUAACCAUAAACUAUGCCGACUAGGGAUCGGGCGAUGUUGAAAAAAUGACGC